RNAcentral lists this ribosomal RNA (433 nucleotides) under uncultured bacterium. RNAcentral's name for it is "partial 16S ribosomal RNA". It matches the Rfam family "Bacterial small subunit ribosomal RNA", at positions 29 to 507 of the family's 1533-position model. The record is from RNAcentral.
AACGAACGCUGGCGGCAUGCCUAACACAUGCGAGUCGAACGAUGCUUUCGGGCAUAGUGGCGCACGGGUGCGUAACGCGUGGGAAUCUGCCCUGGGGUUCGGGAUAACAGCGGGAAACUGCUGCUAAUACCGGAUGAUAUCGCGAGAUCAAAGAUUUAUCGCCCUGGGAUGAGCCCGCGUCGGUUUAGGUAGUUGGGGGGGUAAGAGCCUACCAGGCCGACGAUCCGUAGCUGGUCUGAGAGGAUGGUCCGCCACACUGGGACGGGGACGCGGCCCGGACUCCUACGGGAGGCAGCAGUGGGGAAUAUUGGACAAUGGGCGCAAGCCUGAUCCAGCAAUGCCGCGUGAGUGAUGAAGGCCUUAGGGUUGUAAAGCUCUUUUACCCGGGAUGAUAAUGACGGUACCGGGAGAAUAAGCCCCGGCUAACUCCGUG